UUCCUUCUAUAGUUCUCUUUAAGUGUAUUAUAAUAAGUUUUUACAGAAAAUCAGUUCUCAAGACCAAUAUAUAAAUAACAUAGGCAUAUUAUGUUUUUAUAGAAAAAUAAUGUGUUACAUCAGCUUCUAAGAUGUUGGUCCAUAAUGAGGUUUCCUCCUUAGGUGGGUUUCCUUUAUGCUUGAGCUUCUAAUUUAGUGGUCGACAAUGAAGCUUUCCUUUCUAUAUGGGUUUUCUCUUGAGGCUCAAUUGUCAAUUAUGGAGCUUGAUGUUUCUUUACAGUGAAGGUUUCCUCAUGUGUAGCUCAAUGCCAAUAUUGUUGUUUAGCCACAUGACUCCUAUUUGAAUCUUCAGCAAACCAUCAUAUGGUUCUUAGUGUCAACUUUGGGGCUCAACACCAACUUCUUAAUUUCCUUCAACUUACCUGUAAAAACAAUACAAACAUAUCAAUUUCCACUUUUUAUUUCGUUUCUUGAUGGCAACCUCCUUAUGCUAGGUUGAGCCAAAGUUAGGAGAUGUGCAUGGAAGAGUGUUUCCUUGGAUGGAUGAUGUAGAA
Molecule: long non-coding RNA, 554 nt
Filed under: Vigna radiata
Lineage: Eukaryota; Viridiplantae; Streptophyta; Magnoliopsida; Fabales; Fabaceae
Description: long non-coding RNA (VRAD_LNC002266)
Source: RNAcentral